Epinephelus fuscoguttatus (brown-marbled grouper) is the source of this 487-nucleotide long non-coding RNA. RefSeq lists it as uncharacterized. The transcript is spliced from 3 exons. The record is from RefSeq and is a predicted model, not a curated record. Lineage: Eukaryota; Metazoa; Chordata; Actinopteri; Perciformes; Serranidae.
CGUGAUGACAGUAUGUUGAGGCGACACAUAGGCACCAAGAGAUACUACUGCUCUGAAAGGGCUGCUGUGCGAGGUAAUCUGUUUUUGGAGCUUAACAUCACUAGCAUAUGACAUCAUCAGUAAUGAAGUUAGCAAAGCUGUCUCGUCAAAGCUGGAUGUCAACUGCUCCGUGCAGACAGUGAUGGCGGGAGUUUGACGCUGCAGUGAAGCAAUCAUGAAUCAUUUUCAACAUCAGGAAACCGAGUGAACACCUUGACCAUCAACACACCAAAACUGCAUGUGACUGCUGGCUGUGGAGUCUGACCUGCUGAGAGGAGUAUGAGUUUGCAAACACACAGUUAAAGAAGCUCUUGCAAAGAUCUGGAACCAGUCUGGUCCCAUCUUCCAGGGUCUUGAGAAACUCAACCUGGAACUCCACCAUUUCCGGCAAGUUCCCGAACAGUACAUCCAGCUGGAGGAAAAGGGGAUUAGAGCAAAGUCAAAAUAC